UGAGCAAUCUGCCCUUCACAUCGGAAUAACCAUUGGAAACGAUGGCUAAUACCGAAUAUGACUUCGGAUCGCAUGAUCUGAAGUGGAAAGCUCCGGCGGUGAAGGAUGAGCUCGCGGCCUAUCAGCUAGUUGGUGUGGGUAAUGGCCCACAAGGCGACGACGGGUAGCCGGCCUGGAGAGGGUGACCGGCCACACUGGGACUGAGACACGGCCCAGACUCCGUAACGGGG
This 230-nucleotide ribosomal RNA is filed under the name uncultured bacterium. RNAcentral describes it as "partial 16S ribosomal RNA". It matches the Rfam family "Bacterial small subunit ribosomal RNA", at positions 118 to 346 of the family's 1533-position model. The record is from RNAcentral.